Molecule: ribosomal RNA, 219 nt
Filed under: uncultured bacterium
Lineage: Bacteria
Description: partial 16S ribosomal RNA
Rfam family: Bacterial small subunit ribosomal RNA
Source: RNAcentral
GACGAACGCUGGCGGCGUGCCUAACACGUGCAAGUCGAACGGGGCCAGGGGCAACUCUGGUUCAGUGGCGGACGGGUGCGUAACACGUGAGGAACAUGACCUUCGGCGGGGGAGUAGCCGGCCCGAACCGGCCGGGUAAGUACCGCCGUACGACCACUUGGGGUACGAUCCUCGAGUGGUGAAAGACAGCAAUGCGCCGAUGGAGUGCCUCGCGGCCUA